Molecule: ribosomal RNA, 1302 nt
Filed under: Streptomyces sp. NTS3
Lineage: Bacteria; Bacillati; Actinomycetota; Actinomycetes; Kitasatosporales; Streptomycetaceae
Description: partial 16S ribosomal RNA
Rfam family: Bacterial small subunit ribosomal RNA
Source: RNAcentral
GUGAGUAACACGUGGGCAAUCUGCCCUGCACUCUGGGACAAGCCCUGGAAACGGGGUCUAAUACCGGAUAUGACUGUCCAUCGCAUGGUGGAUGGUGUAAAGCUCCGGCGGUGCAGGAUGAGCCCGCGGCCUAUCAGCUUGUUGGUGAGGUAGUGGCUCACCAAGGCGACGACGGGUAGCCGGCCUGAGAGGGCGACCGGCCACACUGGGACUGAGACACGGCCCAGACUCCUACGGGAGGCAGCAGUGGGGAAUAUUGCACAAUGGGCGAAAGCCUGAUGCAGCGACGCCGCGUGAGGGAUGACGGCCUUCGGGUUGUAAACCUCUUUCAGCAGGGAAGAAGCGAAAGUGACGGUACCUGCAGAAGAAGCGCCGGCUAACUACGUGCCAGCAGCCGCGGUAAUACGUAGGGCGCAAGCGUUGUCCGGAAUUAUUGGGCGUAAAGAGCUCGUAGGCGGCUUGUCACGUCGGUUGUGAAAGCCCGGGGCUUAACCCCGGGUCUGCAGUCGAUACGGGCAGGCUAGAGUUCGGUAGGGGAGAUCGGAAUUCCUGGUGUAGCGGUGAAAUGCGCAGAUAUCAGGAGGAACACCGGUGGCGAAGGCGGAUCUCUGGGCCGAUACUGACGCUGAGGAGCGAAAGCGUGGGGAGCGAACAGGAUUAGAUACCCUGGUAGUCCACGCCGUAAACGGUGGGCACUAGGUGUGGGCAACAUUCCACGUUGUCCGUGCCGCAGCUAACGCAUUAAGUGCCCCGCCUGGGGGAGUACGGCCGCAAGGCUAAAACUCAAAGGAAUUGACGGGGGCCCGCACAAGCGGCGGAGCAUGUGGCUUAAUUCGACGCAACGCGAAGAACCUUACCAAGGCUUGACUACACCGGAAACGUCUGGAGACAGCGCCCCCUUGUGGUCGGUGGUACAGGUGGGGGCAUGGCUGUCUCACCUCUUGCGGGAAAGAGUUGGGGGUUAAUUCCCCCCACCAGCGCAACCCUUUGUCCGUGUUGCACAAGCCUUUGUGUGUGUUGGGGAAUCACCGGAGAACCACCGGGCAUUCUUAAAAAAGAGGGGGGAGAGACGGGCCCAAACUUUCUUGCCCCCUUAUUUUUUUGGUGUGCACCGCGUACAAAAGGCGGGGGGCAAGAGAUGCGAUACCCCCCCGGGGGGAGGGAAAAUCCAAAACAGCCCAACUCUUUUUUUUGUGUGUUGGGGUGGUCGCCCCCCCACCCCCAGGAGGCGCUGAUUAACUUAUACACAUUAUUUCGGUGAGAUAUAUUUUCUGGCGCGUGGGUACCCCCGCGUCUCCUCCC